GCCGGGCAUGGUGGUGCAUGCCUGUAAUUCCAGCUCCUUGGGAGGCUGAGGCAGGAGACUCACUUGAACCCGGGAGGCACAGGUUGCAGUGAGCUGAGAUCGCGCCACUGCACUCCAGCUUGGGCAACAGAGUGAGACUCUGUCUCAA
This is a non-coding RNA of Pan troglodytes (chimpanzee), 148 nucleotides long. It matches the Rfam family "Metazoan signal recognition particle RNA". Rfam says of the family: The signal recognition particle (SRP) is a universally conserved ribonucleoprotein. It is involved in the co-translational targeting of proteins to membranes. The record is from Rfam. NCBI's taxonomy places the organism in Eukaryota, Metazoa, Chordata, Mammalia, Primates, Hominidae.